GACGAACUGCCCCAAACGUUUGUUCGGAAUCACUGGGCUUAAAGGGCGCGUAGGCGGCAGAUCAAGUCAGGGGUGAAAUCCGGCAGCUCAACUGUCGAAGUGCCUUUGAUACUGAUUUGCUCGAGGGAUAUAGGGGUCUGUGGAACUUCUGGUGGAGCGGUGAAAUGCGUUGAUAUCAGAAGGAACGCCGGUGGCGAAAGCGACGGACUGGAUAUCUUCUGACGCUGAGGCGCGAAAGCUAGGGGAGCAAACGGG
Molecule: ribosomal RNA, 255 nt
Filed under: uncultured bacterium
Lineage: Bacteria
Description: partial 16S ribosomal RNA
Rfam family: Bacterial small subunit ribosomal RNA
Source: RNAcentral